This 507-nucleotide ribosomal RNA is filed under the name uncultured bacterium. RNAcentral describes it as "partial 16S ribosomal RNA". It matches the Rfam family "Bacterial small subunit ribosomal RNA", at positions 28 to 507 of the family's 1533-position model. The record is from RNAcentral.
GACGAACGCUGGCGGCGUGCCUAAUACAUGCAAGUCGAACGCAUUUUCUUUCACCGUAGCUUGCUACACCGAAAGAAAAUGAGUGGCGAACGGGUGAGUAACACGUGGGUAACCUGCCCAUCAGCGGGGGAUAACACUUGGAAACAGGUGCUAAUACCGCAUAAUUCCAUUUACCGCAUGGUAGAUGGAUGAAAGGCGCUUUUGCGUCACUGAUGGAUGGACCCGCGGUGCAUUAGCUAGUUGGUGGGGUAACGGCCUACCAAGGCUGCGAUGCAUAGCCGACCUGAGAGGGUGAUCGGCCACACUGGGACUGAGACACGGCCCAGACUCCUACGGGAGGCAGCAGUAGGGAAUCUUCGGCAAUAGACGCAAGUCUGACCGAGCAACGCCGCGUGAGUGAAGAAGGUUUUCGGAUCGUAAAACUCUGUUGUUAGAGAAGAACAAGGAUGAGAGUGGAAAGUUCAUCCCUUGACGGUAUCUAACCAGAAAGCCACGGCUAACUACGUG